CUGACAUGUGUGCGAGUCAACGG
RNAcentral lists this small nuclear RNA (23 nucleotides) under Arabidopsis thaliana (thale cress). RNAcentral describes it as "snRNA_17537". Lineage: Eukaryota; Viridiplantae; Streptophyta; Magnoliopsida; Brassicales; Brassicaceae. The record is from RNAcentral.